CCCACCUCCCAAACGACACCUUCAUUCAGAUUUCAAUUUCCUGUCUUUUAUCCUUCCCUUCCCCAAUAAUAAUUUCAAAAACCGCUCUCAUUAAAAUCCUCUCCCAUUAAUUAAUUAAUUCCUCUUUCUAGAUUAUCCUGUGUUCCAAAAUUGCUAUACAGUAAUGGGAUUUUGGUUUAUGAAAAAGAUGAAGAAAAGAGGAGUGAUGGGCUUUUCAAUUGCGAAUAAUGAAGAAUUUGGUAUCUAUUCUGCCAUUGAAGAAGAAGAAUAAAAUGGUAUAUGAAUAUUUUGAAUCUACAACAACGACAGUAGCCUGACGAAGAAAGGAUGGGCGACGAAUCGGAUCUUGACAAAGUUCGUUCUCUCACAAAUCGAAUUGAGAUUGCAAAGAUGCGGAGUAUUUUCAUUAAGAACAGUAUAAUGGAAAGCACUUCAUCAAAGUAAUCAAUCCCAUUGUUAUUCAUGGACUUUUAUAGUUGUAUGGCUGGGUUUUGUUGUUGAAUCAGGCAAGUUCUAUAUGAAAUUAAUAAUCGUCUUUUUCAAUUGCUUUUUUGCCAAAUUUUGUUGAAGUAAUGAAAAGGUUGUUGUUGAAAUCAAUUAUAAAAUGGACAUCUGACAUAGAAAUAAGAAAUGUUAAUGUCGGCCUCUUUUGGUCAUUCCGUGGGUGUAACCACGACGGCUCUUAUCUUAGAUGACGUUGGGUACAAACGAAUCAGUAUAUGUUCUGGGUAUUAUUAGUUUACCGAUUAUUGGUUUAAUUAAUUUGUUGCCAUUUAUUUUUUUUCAAAUGAAAAAUAAUAAUUGAUUGUAGGUGAAGAGAAAUAGCGACGUUUCAAUGUGUAAAAUAUUUGGGUUAAAUUGUUUAAAUAACUGAAAAGGGUAACUGAUAACUGUUCAUCCAAAUGUUCUCAAAAUAAUUGCCUAUAUAAGGAUUUAUGCACUCAACUUAAUACACAUUAUGUCAUUAGAAAUCUGAAAAUUUUAGUUACUCCAUUGUUCACCGUUAACGAUAAGUAACUCAAUCGUAUGUGCUUCAUGUCUCAUUUGUAAUCGGUUUUCUGAAUUUCAAGUAAUUUUCUCAAAAUUCUCGAACUUUAUCCUUGAUAGGAGAAUUUUGUACAUAUCCACUGGGUUUAUUUCUUAAUUUGUUCAUAAUGUAUUUUAAUAUUUUCUGUAAACUUUAAUUUGUUGUCCAGACAAUUUCAACAAGUGUGAUUUUGAUAUCCCAUAAAUUGUUUUCAUCUCAAACUUAAAUGAUAGCCAUGGUCUUUUAUUGGAAAUAUAAAUAUAAAUAAUUUAUCAAAUUUGGUUGUAAUUUUUGAAACUUCUUGCGUUCUCUUCUAUGAUUGUUUCAGGUAAAUGACUUAUAUUGGCAAGGAGAAAAACAUAAGGUUGGAAUGAACAUUUUAAUGAAGAUAAACGAUGGAAGGGACAAGAUGAAUGUCAAUAUAUAUAUGGAAUAACGAAUAUUCCGUACAAAUCGCUCCCUCUUACUCUCCAGUUUGAAGGGUAUUUGUUUAGUACUCCAUAUCAAUGACGGGCAAAAUAUUAAGGAUUUAGUGGUCUUUGUUUAGUACUUCGCAUAAUUGCGGUCAAAAUUUAACAGUUAGUGAUUUUUGUUUAGUACUCCAUAGAAAUGUGGUGAAAAUACGAAGGGUUAAUUUUGUAUACACUUAUUAAAUUUGGUUCAUGUUAAGAUUGGUCUUGCUCUUUUAGUUUAACACUCAAGUUCCAACACAUAUCAAGUAGUGUAUCAUUGUAUUUUAUGUACUUAUUAGUGAGAGUAAUAAAUCAUUUCUUCU
Spinacia oleracea (spinach) is the source of this 1802-nucleotide long non-coding RNA. RefSeq lists it as uncharacterized. The transcript is spliced from 4 exons. NCBI's taxonomy places the organism in Eukaryota, Viridiplantae, Streptophyta, Magnoliopsida, Caryophyllales, Amaranthaceae. The record is from RefSeq and is a predicted model, not a curated record.